Molecule: ribosomal RNA, 1000 nt
Filed under: Staphylococcus aureus
Lineage: Bacteria; Bacillati; Bacillota; Bacilli; Caryophanales; Staphylococcaceae
Description: bacterial SSU rRNA
Rfam family: Bacterial small subunit ribosomal RNA
Source: RNAcentral
UGUUAGCGGCGGACGGGUGAGUAACACGUGGAUAACCUACCUAUAAGACUGGGAUAACUUCGGGAAACCGGAGCUAAUACCGGAUAAUAUUUUGAACCGCAUGGUUCAAAAGUGAAAGACGGUCUUGCUGUCACUUAUAGAUGGAUCCGCGCUGCAUUAGCUAGUUGGUAAGGUAACGGCUUACCAAGGCAACGAUGCAUAGCCGACCUGAGAGGGUGAUCGGCCACACUGGAACUGAGACACGGUCCAGACUCCUACGGGAGGCAGCAGUAGGGAAUCUUCCGCAAUGGGCGAAAGCCUGACGGAGCAACGCCGCGUGAGUGAUGAAGGUCUUCGGAUCGUAAAACUCUGUUAUUAGGGAAGAACAUAUGUGUAAGUAACUGUGCACAUCUUGACGGUACCUAAUCAGAAAGCCACGGCUAACUACGUGCCAGCAGCCGCGGUAAUACGUAGGUGGCAAGCGUUAUCCGGAAUUAUUGGGCGUAAAGCGCGCGUAGGCGGUUUUUUAAGUCUGAUGUGAAAGCCCACGGCUCAACCGUGGAGGGUCAUUGGAAACUGGAAAACUUGAGUGCAGAAGAGGAAAGUGGAAUUCCAUGUGUAGCGGUGAAAUGCGCAGAGAUAUGGAGGAACACCAGUGGCGAAGGCGACUUUCUGGUCUGUAACUGACGCUGAUGUGCGAAAGCGUGGGGAUCAAACAGGAUUAGAUACCCUGGUAGUCCACGCCGUAAACGAUGAGUGCUAAGUGUUAGGGGGUUUCCGCCCCUUAGUGCUGCAGCUAACGCAUUAAGCACUCCGCCUGGGGAGUACGACCGCAAGGUUGAAACUCAAAGGAAUUGACGGGGACCCGCACAAGCGGUGGAGCAUGUGGUUUAAUUCGAAGCAACGCGAAGAACCUUACCAAAUCUUGACAUCCUUUGACAACUCUAGAGAUAGAGCCUUCCCCUUCGGGGGACAAAGUGACAGGUGGUGCAUGGUUGUCGUCAGCUCGUGUCGUGAGAUG